AGUGAACGCUGGCGGUAGGCCUAACACAUGCAAGUCGAACGGCAGCACAGUAAGAGCUUGCUCUUACGGGUGGCGAGUGGCGGACGGGUGAGGAAUACAUCGGAAUCUACUUUUUCGUGGGGGAUAACGUAGGGAAACUUACGCUAAUACCGCAUACGACCUACGGGUGAAAGCAGGGGAUCUUCGGACCUUGCGCGAUUGAAUGAGCCGAUGUCGGAUUAGCUAGUUGGCGGGGUAAAGGCCCACCAAGGCGACGAUCCGUAGCUGGUCUGAGAGGAUGAUCAGCCACACUGAAACGGGGAACGGGUCCAGACCCCUAGGGGGGGCGGAGGUGGGAAAUUUUGGCAAAGGGGCGAAAGCCUAAUCACGCCAGCCCGGGGGGGGAAAAAGGGCCUUGGGGUUGUAAACCCCUUUUUUGGGGAAAAAAAAGCAGCAGGUUAAUCCCCCGCUGUUCUGAGGGAACCAAAAGAAAAAGCACCGGCAAAUUUCGU
This 491-nucleotide ribosomal RNA is filed under the name uncultured bacterium. RNAcentral's name for it is "partial 16S ribosomal RNA". It matches the Rfam family "Bacterial small subunit ribosomal RNA", at positions 29 to 506 of the family's 1533-position model. The record is from RNAcentral.